CGGGGCGUGGCGCAGUUGGUAGCGCGCGUGCUUUGGGAGCAUGAGGUCGCAGGUUCGAAUCCUGUCGCCCCGACCA
This 76-nucleotide transfer RNA is filed under the name Armatimonadota bacterium. Its description in RNAcentral is "Armatimonadetes bacterium (activated sludge metagenome) tRNA-Pro". It matches the Rfam family "tRNA". From Rfam's summary of the family: Transfer RNA (tRNA) molecules are approximately 80 nucleotides in length. Their secondary structure includes four short double-helical elements and three loops (D, anti-codon, and T loops). Further hydrogen bonds mediate the characteristic L-shaped molecular structure. tRNAs have two regions of fundamental functional importance: the anti-codon, which is responsible for specific mRNA codon recognition, and the 3' end, to which the tRNAs corresponding amino acid is attached (by aminoacyl-tRNA synthetases). tRNAs cope with the degeneracy of the genetic code in two manners: having more than one tRNA (with a specific anti-codon) for a particular amino acid; and 'wobble' base-pairing, i.e. permitting non-standard base-pairing at the 3rd anti-codon position. Lineage: Bacteria; Bacillati; Armatimonadota. The record is from RNAcentral. RNAcentral also lists the same sequence under 1 other name.